RNAcentral lists this ribosomal RNA (253 nucleotides) under uncultured bacterium. RNAcentral describes it as "partial 16S ribosomal RNA". It matches the Rfam family "Bacterial small subunit ribosomal RNA", at positions 524 to 776 of the family's 1533-position model. The record is from RNAcentral.
UACGUAUGGAGCAAGCGUUAUCCGGAUUUACUGGGUGUAAAGGGAGCGUAGGCGGCUCUGUAAGUCUGAUGUGAAAAUUUGGGGCUCAACCCCAAACGUGCAUUGGAAACUGCAGGGCUUGAGUGCCGGAGAGGCAGGCGGAAUUCCUAGUGUAGCGGUGAAAUGCGUAGAUAUUAGGAGGAACACCAGUGGCGAAGGCGGCCUGCUGGACGGUGACUGACGCUGAGGCUCGAAAGCGUGGGGAGCAAACAGG